This is a non-coding RNA of Paramuricea clavata, 152 nucleotides long. Lineage: Eukaryota; Metazoa; Cnidaria; Anthozoa; Malacalcyonacea; Plexauridae. The record is from the annotation of a GenBank genome assembly.
UUAUCAGACUUGUUACAAGGUUGUUCUAACAAGUCUGAUACAGUCAUGAUAUAACAAGAAUGUUACAAGAUUGACGACACAAGGUUGUAACAAUAUUGUUAUAUCAUGACUGUAUCGGACUUGUUGGAACAACCUUGCAACAAGUCUGAUAA